CCUACGGGAGGCAGCAGUGAGGAAUAUUGGUCAAUGGGCGCGAGUCUGAACCAGCCAAGUCGCGUGAGGGAUGAAGGCUCUAUGGAUUGUAAACUUCUUUUAUAAGGGAAUAAAGCGAGGGACGUGUGCCUUUUUGCAUGUACUUUAUGAAUAAGGAUCGGCUAACUCCGUGCCAGCAGCCGCGGUAAUACGGAGGAUCCGAGCGUUAUCCGGAUUUAUUGGGUUUAAAGGGAGCGUAGGUGGGUUGUUAAGUCAGUGGUGAAAGUUUGUGGCUCAACCGUAAAAUUGCCAUUGAUACUGGGAGUCUUGAGUAUAGUUGAGGCAAGCGGAAUGCGUGGUGUAGCGGUGAAAUGCUUAGAUAUCACGAAGAACCCCGAUUGCGAAGGCAGCCUACCAAGCCGUGACUGACACUGAUGCACGAAAGCGUGGGGAUCAAACAGGAUUAGAUACCCGAGUAGUC
Molecule: ribosomal RNA, 460 nt
Filed under: uncultured bacterium
Lineage: Bacteria
Description: partial 16S ribosomal RNA
Rfam family: Bacterial small subunit ribosomal RNA
Source: RNAcentral